GAUAUUGCGACAAUGGGCGAAAGCCUGACGCAGCAACGCCGCGUGCGGGAGGACGNCCNNCGGGUNGNAAACCGCUUUUCGAGNNNNNGAGGAAGGACGGUACCCUCGGAAUACGUCUCGGCUAACUACGUGCCAGCAGCCGCGGUAAAACGUAGGAGGCGAGCGUUAUCCGGAUUUACUGGGUGUAAAGCGCGUGCAGGCGGCCGCGCAAGUCGUGCGUGAAAGCGCCCGGUUCAACCGGGCGAGGUCGUGCGAAACUGCGGGGCUUGAGGCAGGUAGAGGCGUGUGGAAUUCCGGGUGUAGUGGUGAAAUGCGUAGAGAUCCGGAGGAACACCAGUGGCGAAGGCGGCACGCUGGGCCUGGCCUGACGCUCAGACGCGAAAGCAUGGGGAGCGAACGGG
RNAcentral lists this ribosomal RNA (401 nucleotides) under uncultured bacterium. RNAcentral's name for it is "partial 16S ribosomal RNA". It matches the Rfam family "Bacterial small subunit ribosomal RNA", at positions 359 to 776 of the family's 1533-position model. The record is from RNAcentral.